Molecule: RNA transcript, 1046 nt
Organism: Nycticebus coucang (slow loris)
Lineage: Eukaryota; Metazoa; Chordata; Mammalia; Primates; Lorisidae
Gene name: transmembrane protein 106B-like
Exons: 1
Source: RefSeq, a predicted model, not a curated record
CCCGGGUCUGCAGACUCCGCGACCCUGUCAGGGCCUGUCUGCGUGAAGGUGCCGGGGACUCCACAGCGCCCCGCCGACAUGGGAAAGUCUCUUUCUCAUUUGCCUUUGCAUUCAAGUAAAGAAGAUGCUUAUGAUGGAGUCACAUCUUCUGACAACAUGAGGAAUGGAUUGGUUAGUGGUGAAGUCCAUAAUGAAGAUGGAAGACAUGGAGACGUCUCUCAGUUUCCAUACGUGGAAUUUACAGGAAGAGAUAGUGUUACUUGCCCCACUUGUCAGGGAACAGGCAGAAUUCCCUGGGGCCAAGAAAACCAACUGGUGGCACUGAUUCCAUAUACGGAUCAGAGAUUAAGACCAAGAAGAACAAAGCUGUAUAUGAUGGCCUCCAUGUUUGUCUGUCUGCUCCUUUCAGGAUUGGCUGUGUUUUUCCUUUUCCCUCGUUCUAGCGACGUGAAAUACAUUGGCGUAAAAUCAGCAUAUGUCAGUUACGAUCCUCAAAAGCCUAGAAUAUAUUUAAAUAUCACAAAUACACUACAUUUUACAAACAAUAACUAUUAUUCCGUUGAAGUUGAAAACAUCACUGCUCAAGUUCGAUUUUCAAAAACAGUUACUGGAAAAGCACGCUUAAACAACAUAACCAAUAUUGGUCCACUUGAUAUGAAGCAAAUUGAUUACACGGUACUUAAUGUUAUAGUAGAGGAAAUGAAUUACAUGUUUGAUUUCUGUACACUGGCAUCCAUCAAAGUACAUACAUAGUACUCAUGAUGCAAGUUACUGUGACAACUACAUACUUUGGCCAUUCUGAACAGACAUCCCAGGAGAGGUACCAGUAUGACCACUGUGGAAGGAAUACCACAUAUCAAUUGGGGCAGUCUGAGCAUCUAAAUGUACUUCAGCCACAACAGUAAAAACUGAAAGAGAUAUAUCUAGAGAAGGACAAAUAUCUACUGAUAUUUUCCAUACUCUUAAAGAGGAGGUAUUUCCUAACAGGAUAUCUUAAAUUGAACAAACCUAAAGUUUACACUUCUAUUUUAAGAACACAGUUAAAA